AGCAAAUGCUUACCCUUUCAGAGUCUCUUCCUGCUAUUUUCUUGCCUGAAUUAGUGACUGGUACAGAGUGGACACUCAAGGUGUAUUGAUGUUGAGCAAAAGAAUAAAAAAAUAUUACUCUACAGUGAAGUGCAGAAUAAAUUGAAUUAGUGAAG
Molecule: long non-coding RNA, 155 nt
Organism: Orcinus orca (killer whale)
Lineage: Eukaryota; Metazoa; Chordata; Mammalia; Artiodactyla; Delphinidae
Exons: 3
Source: RefSeq, a predicted model, not a curated record